GCUGCGUGUGGUGGCACAUACCUGUAGUUCCAGCUACUCGGGAGGCUGAGGCAGGAGGAUUGCUUGAGCCCAGGAGUCCUGGGCUAUAGUGCACUAUGUCAGUCUGAUGUCCGCAUAAAGUUUGGCAUCAGUAUGGUGACCUUGAUUUCCCCGGAGCAAGGGACCACGAGGUUGUCUUAAGGAGGAGUGAACUAGCCCAGGUUGAAAACAGAGUAGGUCAGUACUCUGGUGCUGCUUAGUAGCAGGAUCACACCUGGGAAUAGCCACUGCAGUCUAGCCUGGGCAACAUAGCUAGACCCCGUCUUA
This 306-nucleotide signal recognition particle RNA is filed under the name Rhinopithecus bieti (black snub-nosed monkey). Its description in RNAcentral is "Metazoan signal recognition particle RNA (ENSRBIG00000002047.1)". It matches the Rfam family "Metazoan signal recognition particle RNA". From Rfam's summary of the family: The signal recognition particle (SRP) is a universally conserved ribonucleoprotein. It is involved in the co-translational targeting of proteins to membranes. The eukaryotic SRP consists of a 300-nucleotide 7S RNA and six proteins: SRPs 72, 68, 54, 19, 14, and 9. The record is from RNAcentral. Lineage: Eukaryota; Metazoa; Chordata; Mammalia; Primates; Cercopithecidae.